AGAGUUUGAUCCUGGCUCAGAUUGAACGCUGGCGGCAGGCCUAACACAUGCAAGUCGAGCGGUAGCACAGGGAGCUUGCUCCUGGGUGACGAGCGGCGGACGGGUGAGUAAUGUCUGGGAAACUGCCUGAUGGAGGGGGAUAACUACUGGAAACGGUAGCUAAUACCGCAUAAUGUCGCAAGACCAAAGAGGGGGACCUUAGGGCCUCUUGCCAUCAGAUGUGCCCAGAUGGGAUUAGCUAGUAGGUGGGGUAACGGCUCACCAAGACCAUGAUGCAUAGCCGACCUGAGAGGGUGAUCGGCCACACUGGGACUGAGACACGGCCCAGACUCCUACGGGAGGCAGCAGUAGGGAAUCUUCGGCAAUGGACGAAAGUCUGACCGAGCAACGCCGCGUGAGUGAAGAAGGCCUUCGGGUUGUAAAGUACUUUCAGCGGGGAGGAAGGCGGUGAGGUUAAUAACCUCAUCGAUUGACGUUACCCGCAGAAGAAGCACCGGCUAACUCCGUGCCAGCCGCCGCGGUAAUUC
Molecule: ribosomal RNA, 527 nt
Filed under: uncultured bacterium
Lineage: Bacteria
Description: bacterial SSU rRNA
Rfam family: Bacterial small subunit ribosomal RNA
Source: RNAcentral